Molecule: ribosomal RNA, 629 nt
Filed under: uncultured Bacilli bacterium
Lineage: Bacteria; Bacillati; Bacillota; Bacilli
Description: bacterial SSU rRNA
Rfam family: Bacterial small subunit ribosomal RNA
Source: RNAcentral
CACACUGUGCUUGCACACCGUGUUUUCUUGAGUCGCGAACGGGUGAGUAACGCGUAGGUAACCUGCCUAUUAGCGGGGGAUAACUAUUGGAAACGAUAGCUAAUACCGCAUAAUAUUAAUUAUUGCAUGAUAAUUGAUUGAAAGAUGCAAGCGCAUCACUAGUAGAUGGACCUGCGUUGUAUUAGCUAGUUGGUAAGGUAAGAGCUUACCAAGGCGACGAUACAUAGCCGACCUGAGAGGGUGAUCGGCCACACUGGGACUGAGACACGGCCCAGACUCCUACGGGAGGCAGCAGUAGGGAAUCUUCGGCAAUGGACGAAAGUCUGACCGAGCAACGCCGCGUGAGUGAAGAAGGUUUUCGGAUCGUAAAGCUCUGUUGUAAGUCAAGAACGUGUGUGAGAGUGGAAAGUUCACACAGUGACGGUAGCUUACCAGAAAGGGACGGCUAACUACGUGCCAGCAGCCGCGGUAAUACGUAGGUCCCGAGCGUUGUCCGGAUUUAUUGGGCGUAAAGGGAGCGCAGGCGGUCAGGAAAGUCUGGAGUAAAAGGCUAUGGCUCAACCAUAGUGUGCUCUGGAAACUGUCUGACUUGAGUGCAGAAGGGGAGAGUGGAAUUCCAUGUGUAGCGG